Molecule: ribosomal RNA, 583 nt
Filed under: uncultured Verrucomicrobiota bacterium
Lineage: Bacteria; Pseudomonadati; Verrucomicrobiota
Description: bacterial SSU rRNA
Rfam family: Bacterial small subunit ribosomal RNA
Source: RNAcentral
UAACACGUGGGCAACCUGCCAAGAAGUGGGGGAUAGCUCGCCGAAAGGCGAAUUAAUACCGCAUGUGAUUAGAGAGGACCAUCCUUUCCAAAUUAAAGUCGGGGCAACCUGACGCUUCUUGUGGGGCCCGCGGCCUAUCAGCUAGUUGGUGGGGUAACGGCUCACCAAGGCUUUGACGGGUAGCUGGUCUGAGAGGACGACCAGCCACACUGGGACUGAGACACGGCCCAGACACCUACGGGUGGCAGCAGUCGAGAAUUUUUGACAAUGGGGGAAACCCUGAUCGAGCGACGCCGCGUGGAGGAUGAAGGUCUUCGGAUUGUAAACUCCUGUCAUUGGGGAACAAGGUGCAUACGUUAACUGCGUGUGCAUUGAUAGUACCCGAAGAGGAAGAGACGGCUAACUCUGUGCCAGCAGCCGCGGUAAUACAGAGGUCUCAAGCGUUGUUCGGAUUCAUUGGGCGUAAAGGGUGCGUAGGCGGCGCGGUAAGUCGGGUGUGAAAUCUCGGAGCUUAACUCCGAAACUGCAUUCGAUACUGCCGUGCUUGAGGACUGGAGAGGAGACUGGAAUUCACGGUGUAGCA